CGGCAUGCCUUACACAUGCAAGUCGAACGGUAGAGUAGCAAUACUUGAGAGUGGCGAACGGGUGAGUAAUAUAUCGGAACGUGCCCAGUCGUGGGGGAUAACGUAGAGAAAUUUACGCUAAUACCGCAUACGAUCUACGGAUGAAAGUGGGGGAUCGCAAGACCUCAUGCUCAUGGAGCGGCCGAUAUCAGAUUAGGUAGUUGGUGAGGUAAAGGCUCACCAAGCCGACGAUCUGUAGCUGGUCUGAGAGGACGACCAGCCACACUGGGACUGAGACACGGCCCAGACUCCUACGGGAGGCAGCAGUGGGGAAUUUUGGACAAUGGGCGCAAGCCUGAUCCAGCAAUGCCGCGUGCAGGAUGAAGGCCUUCGGGUUGUAAACUGCUUUGUACGGAACGAAACGGUGAGCUCUAAUACAGUUUGCUAAUGACGGUACCGUAAGAAUAAGCACCGGCUAACUACGUG
This 465-nucleotide ribosomal RNA is filed under the name uncultured bacterium. RNAcentral describes it as "bacterial SSU rRNA". It matches the Rfam family "Bacterial small subunit ribosomal RNA", at positions 40 to 507 of the family's 1533-position model. The record is from RNAcentral.